CCCCUCUCAGGGUCUUAUCUGGAGAGUUUCCAGGACUCUACCAGUCUAGGCUACGGGAGGCAGAGUAAAGCAGAGGCAUUCCCAUUCCUAGCUUGGCCAGUGGUUAGCGAGUGGAAGGCAAUCUGCUACAAGU
Ornithorhynchus anatinus (platypus) is the source of this 133-nucleotide non-coding RNA. The record is from Rfam. NCBI's taxonomy places the organism in Eukaryota, Metazoa, Chordata, Mammalia, Monotremata, Ornithorhynchidae.